AUUCACACUCUCUUGUACUGUCUGUUCCCACUAAUUCCCGGCAAUGCUCACCCUGUGGGUUUUCCUUGUGUCUUUGGCGUGGGUUUGUGGAGACACCAACAUAAGAAUACUCCAAGACCAACUCUCUUUCACCCGAAAACCAGACAGAACAGUGCACAUCAGUUGCCAGAUCUCUGGAGUAAACUUCAAGAACACCAUUGUGCACUGGUAUCAACAAAGAGAAGGGGAACCCCUGAAACGGAUCAUCUAUGGUUCGGCCAACAACUACAAACAAGACAUGCCCAAUUCUCGCUUGGAGGCUGGUGAGAAAGACAAUGGUAUCUUUUACCUGAUCAUCAAUAAUGUCAUCAAAUCAGAUGAGGGCACAUACUACUGUGCCUGCUGGGAUCCCACAGUGCCACAGAGUCAGAAGGGACCUGUAAGGAAACCUCAGUGAUUCUCCUUCAAUGGGCUUCACACUCCU
Non-coding RNA from Ochotona princeps (American pika), 463 nucleotides. The record is from the annotation of a RefSeq genome assembly. NCBI's taxonomy places the organism in Eukaryota, Metazoa, Chordata, Mammalia, Lagomorpha, Ochotonidae.